AGAACGAACGCUGGCGGCAUGCCUAAUACAUGCAAGUCGAACGAGACCUUCGGGUCUAGUGGCGCACGGGUGCGUAACGCGUGGGAAUCUACCCUUGGGUUCGGAAUAACAGUUGGAAACGACUGCUAAUACCGGAUGAUGACGAAAGUCCAAAGAUUUAUCGCCCAGGGAUGAGCCCGCGUAGGAUUAGCUAGUUGGUGAGGUAAAGCUCACCAAGGCUACGAUCCUUAGCUGGUCUGAGAGGAUGAUCAGCCACACUGGACUGAGACACGCCCGAGACUCCUACGGGAGGCAGCGAGUAGGGAAUAGUGGUACAAGUGGGGGACACCCGUAGA
This 335-nucleotide ribosomal RNA is filed under the name uncultured soil bacterium. Its description in RNAcentral is "bacterial SSU rRNA". It matches the Rfam family "Bacterial small subunit ribosomal RNA", at positions 26 to 388 of the family's 1533-position model. The record is from RNAcentral.